AUGGCUCACCUGAUGCAGCCGGCAGAGUGUGGCUGGUCUCUGUGCUGUGUUGUAUCGCAUUCUGCGAACUCAUGGAAAUGGAUCCUUGGUGAAGAUGGCUUGUGGCCCAAGCUUCCUGUCCUCGCUGCCCUCAAGUCCACUUUGAAUUCUUCUCCCUGGUUUCCUCCUUUUUCUCUCUUUCCACCAACAUACUACUGCACGUCAAAGCUGGUGGUGCAGUGCAGAGCACAAG
RNAcentral lists this long non-coding RNA (232 nucleotides) under Numida meleagris (helmeted guineafowl). RNAcentral's name for it is "lncRNA (ENSNMEG00000021647.1)". Lineage: Eukaryota; Metazoa; Chordata; Aves; Galliformes; Numididae. The record is from RNAcentral.